GUUCCCUCCUCGCCGCGCAGCCGGGCGCGCACACGCAGACCUGCUCCUCGCCAGUUGCACCGCACAGGAUCCCCCGACAGUGCGCUCACCGCCUGUGAUCCCUGCGUAUUGCGCUCCGCUGGAUGUUUUGCGCAGAGGACAGCAGCCUUCCUGCCUUCCACCGAUCCCCCUCCUCCUUCUCUUUAACUUUUUACUGUUGUUUUCUUUUCGCCUGCGUGCGUCCAGGGGCACCUGUUCCCGACAAUAUGGUUCUCUAAGGGCUGAGAGAACCCUGUAGAUCCAGGCGUUCCAACUUGGAGGGGCUUGAUGGUGCGGUUAUUUGUGCCAGAUUUGGAAAAGUUGCGCUGCGUCAAGGAGCAUGGGCGCAAACUUUAAGAGCUUUUUAUAAUCCAGAGACAGUUUUUUUUUUGUUGUUGUUUGCUUUGUUUUUCUAUUAAAGAAUGAAGGCAGGUGAGUCACCCGUGGCGUGAGAGGCGCGAACAUCUCCACGGCUCUCCCAGGUAGUGGGUGAGAAAAAUCAGGCGACACGGAGGGGAAGUCGUGAUCUGUGCGGCGGAUUGCGCUACGGAGGACGGAGGGAACGGACCGAUGAGACAACAUGGGUCCAUUGCUGAGUGAUGGGCGAUUGACACACCUUCUCUUCCCUCUGCUCCUCCUCUUGCGAGCACCACUCUUAUUCAGCUUUGGAGAGCGCACCUGCCCCAAUUUUUGCCGAUGUGAAGGAAAAACUGUCCAUUGCGACUCAUCUGGAUUUUUAGAUGUACCAGAAAACAUCUCAGUUGGUUGUCAGGGCCUCUCUCUGCGCUACAAUGAACUGCACACCCUGCUACCAUAUCAGUUUGCUCACCUCAGCCAGCUUCUCUGGAUAUACUUAGACCACAAUCAGAUCUCAGCUGUUGAUAGUCGAGCAUUCCAGGGGGUCCGCAGGCUUAAAGAGCUAAUACUGAGCUCCAACAGGAUCACAUCUCUACAUAAUUCGACAUUCCAUGGAAUUCCCAACCUUCGCAGUCUGGACUUGUCCUACAACAAAUUGGAAAUCCUGCAGCCAGGUCAAUUCCAUGGGCUACGAAAACUACAAAACCUUCACCUACGCUCAAAUGGUCUCUCCAACAUCCCAAUUCGGGCAUUCCUGGAGUGCCGAAGUUUGGAGUUUCUAGAUUUGGGCUACAAUCGAAUCAAGGCUCUCACUCGCACCACCUUUUUGGGGCUACAGAAGCUGAUGGAGUUGCAUCUGGAACAUAACCAGUUCUCACGGAUCAACUUUUUUCUGUUUCCACGUUUAGCCAAUCUGAGAUCACUCUACCUGCAGUGGAAUCGCAUUAGGGUGGUCAACCAGGGCCUUCCAUGGACUUGGUAUACACUUCAGAAACUUGACCUGUCUGGAAAUGAAAUCCAGACACUGGAUCCCGCCGUGUUCCACUGCUUGCCCAACCUUCAAGUCCUAAACCUGGAAUCCAACAAACUGUCCAAUGUGUCUCAAGAGGCAGUGUCAGCAUGGAUCUCGCUGACCUCCAUUAGCCUUGCUGGCAAUAUGUGGGAUUGUGGAACAGGCAUUUGCCCCCUUGUUGCAUGGUUGAGAAAUUUUCGGGGCAGUAAGGACACCACUAUGAUAUGCAGCAGCCCAAAGUAUCUCCAGGGGGAGAAAAUCAUGGAAGCCACGAGGACCCAUGGUAUUUGUGAGGAAACUGAUUACAUUCUGACUGAAACACCCUCCCCAAUGUCGGAGCUCAUUUCUGAAGCCACUGCUGAACCAACCUUUGCCCCGACUAGCGGAUCUCCACCUCUGCCGCCAACGAACACCUUUGGUCCUAUCCCGCCAUUCAGACCUCGGCCUAUUCCCCAUCCUACCUAUCCGGGGCAUAUGAGCAAAGACCCUAGAGACUCAGUGGUUCGCCCUCGACCCACUCAAUUGCCGCCUCCUGAGAUGGAGCACAUGACUCUGCACAAAGUGGUGGUGGGCAGCGUGGCACUCUUCUUCACCAUGUCCCUAAUCUUGACAAUUAUCUAUGUGCUGUGGCGGCGCUACCCAGGUGCAACCAGGUUGCUGCAGCAGCGGUCCAUGGUGGGACGGAAGCGUCGCAAAAAGAGUCCAGAGCCAGAGCAGAACCUCAGCUCCCAGCUCCAAGAGUAUUACAUGAGCUACAACCCUGCUGCCACACCAGAAGCAUUGGAGGUGCUAGGCAAUGGCACUGGUUCCUGCACUUGCACAAUUUCUGGCUCCAGGGAGUGUGAGGUAUGAUUCAGCGCCACAGCCCUAAAAAUACAAACUCAAAAUCAAAAUACAAGGCUCAACAGAGAGAAUGAGUAUACGUGUCCACGCCCCUUACCCGGUGCCUGGCUAGGAGACGUGCCUACCAUCCAUUAACCCAUCAAAAAGGAACUGCUAUUGGAGGGUACAGCAAUGAAUCGAGGAAAGAGACAUAUGCAGAGCACCCAUCAGGAUCCUAAUCUCAUAAUUCACAUUCAAGGAUACAUCUACGAUGGUUCUCCAUGCUAACGAAGGCGACCGCAGACUAAGACACAGAGGAGAUAAUACUGUCUUUUUUCCCCUCUUUUUUCUUAAGGUUUUAUAAAGUCUUUUUUUUUGGCCUGUGGUCUUUGGUCAUCGGCUUUUGCUGCAUCUCGCUGCACUUCAUCACCACACAAACACUGACACUGAUGGUCAUGGAAACACCGUCACAGAAACAGCAGAGCCCUGGAGGAAGACUAAUGAGAACUAAUGGAUGAUUAUAACCAACAUGGGAGCUUAUUGUAUAGACUAUAAUAGUGUAUUGUCUCCAUGAGGACAACGAGGCAUUGUACAAAUUCAAGAGGCUUAAAAAAAAAAAACGUGUAAAACUGAGCAAUGAAUCAUUAAUGAAAAUGCACUGAACAAGUAGCUCUGACCGCUCUGCUAACACAGCUGUGUAUAAUUUAAAGUGGGUUUGCAUAUUUCGAUUCCAUCUUCUAUCGUUUUUUUUUUCAAUGUUUUUUUUAAUUUUAUUUUUUUAAAGCAAAAAAAAAAAAAAGAAAGACUAAUCAAAGGCUAUGAUGGUGUAAAUGUGCCUCACUGGAGCGGAAACAUUCUGAAAUGAGUGGCUGGGUUUCUGUGCACCUGUCAGUAAAGAGGAAUCAUCUGGUGGAAGUCAGCAGCUGGAAUAUUGUUUGAAGCUUGUCAAACAUUCGCCAGAGGAAAAAGCAAACUAUGCCCAAGUCAGUUAUCUUCGUGGAAGUUAUUUGUUUGUUUCUUUGCUUAUUUUUUUCCAAAAAAAGGAGGAGUUUUUCUAAGUUGUUUCUAAUUGCAAUCAAACCUCGACUAAUGUAGUUUGAUUUGGAGGUCAGACAAGGGCAAUCAGAAGCAAAAGAAAAAGAACGAAAGGGAAAAAAGGGAGAAAAGAAACUCUAAUCGAAGGUAAAAAUGUAAUUUUCUGAAAAUUAUAAUGUUGUUAAUGUUGUACUUUAUAAAUAUGUGUUCCUGCCAUUUUCAACACCAAAUACCAAAAGAGCCAAAUGGAUCCUAUAUGGCUCUCCCAAACACAUCAUGAACAAAAUCCAGGAUUUGCUGUCUUAAAAUGAAAUCCACGAGAAAUCAAAAAGAAGCCUCAACUCCUCUCAUGUCCAGCAGUGCUCUCUGUUAACGAAUCUGCUUUUUCUUUUCUCUUUGUUUUCUUCAUGUGCGUAAACGUGUACGUCUUUGUGAACAAAUGAUCUCGCAGCGACGGUCUUCGUUAGGAAGAUCCUGUCCGAAAGAUAACUCCGAGCACUGCUUUAUACAUUUCUGUUGAGAACACGCUUCACCUUCCUUUAAAAUAAUCCGCACGUCUCUCCACCUGGAGGAGACUGCAGAUGUUUGCCGGUUCUGCGUGUGCUUGUGUUUCAUUUGAGUUCUUAAUUAUAUCUGAGACACACACUGAGUUGUGGAUUGUUUGUUUGAACCUUUAAACAUAAUCUUUCUACACCGGAAAAUGAUAAUUUUCUAUUGUAAAUUUAUGCUUCCCCCUACCCCCAAACCCCCUUCCUUGAAUUUGUUGAUAUUUAGUAAGCAGCUGUAUUCUUUGUUCACUUUCAACAGUAUGUUUUAUAAUGAAAAUAAUGACUUUAUUGGUGAGCAAUAUGAAUUGGUCAAAUUAAAAUAUUCAUUAAUCAUU
This is an RNA transcript of Acanthochromis polyacanthus (spiny chromis), 4127 nucleotides long. It is a transcript of the gene named leucine rich repeat transmembrane neuronal 4 like 1, with no coding region annotated. The record is from RefSeq and is a predicted model, not a curated record. Lineage: Eukaryota; Metazoa; Chordata; Actinopteri; Pomacentridae. The transcript is spliced from 3 exons.